Molecule: long non-coding RNA, 1803 nt
Organism: Wyeomyia smithii (pitcher-plant mosquito)
Lineage: Eukaryota; Metazoa; Arthropoda; Insecta; Diptera; Culicidae
Exons: 3
Source: RefSeq, a predicted model, not a curated record
UUCCUUUGCUUGACAGUAUCGCCCUUCACUUUACGCCUUGUUUACGUUACAGCUCCGAAUACGCCUUUUGCUUUUUAUUGGUUUAAAUAAAAUUUAAUAUUUCAAAUGAGUAAUAUUUUAAGCAGUUUGUUCAUUAUAAACACUUCCCAUUAACAGCUUAAACAGCAUAUGAUUUUACUCGCAAAUAGAUUAUUAUUUCGGCAUAAACGCAUCCAAAAGAUUUAGAUGAACCAAAUUUAAGUGAAACUGAGGCUAGAAUGUGUCAGGAGACUGUGACGAAAUUAAUCCAAAACUUAUUUUUCGUAAUCACGAAGCAUAAAACAUGCUUAUGCGAGCCCAACCAAUGUUUGAAAUAUUCAUAACUACAAACUUACUUGAAUAUCAGGGCACCCAUGUCCAUCAAUCGUUCACCAACAGUAUCUUCAUCUUUAUUAUGAAACGAAGAAGGCAUGCUUUUGCUGUCUACUGAUUUGAGGAGCAUAGUACUGUGCCCUUUAGAGCGUUUAGGGAUUACACGUAGAACGUUCAUUAUACAGUUUUUUUUCGCAUAAACAGCACACGAUUUUAAUUGCAAAUAGGAUACUAUUUUGGCAUAAACACAUAUGAAAGAUUCAGAUGAACCAAAUCUAAGCGGAAUCAAGGCUAGAAUGUUUCAAGAGAUUGGCGCAACUAUUAAUGUGGUUUUCUAUAUACUUGAUGUGCUCCAUCGGUACGCGACGCUGACCGCCAUUUUUAACUCGUUGGUCGUCGUAGGACAUCCCAUUGUUGAAAAUCAUCUUUUUUGAAAGGCAACGGGUUUUUUUAUCUUUAAUAUUGAGCGUUGAUUCAAACAUUUUUUUACACGCUCGAAUUUUCCCUUUAAUAGCUGGUAAAAAAUAUUUACGUGUGUAUAAUCUCCGUGAGUUGAGAACCCAUAAAAAUAAUGUAUGUGUUAUUUAAAUAGUUUUUAAAAUUAAUGUUAUUUAACUAACCGUUUGUCGACUUGUUUCACUAAUCACUAUAUGAUUCCUAAUAAAUUGAUUUUGGCCUGAAGAUGAAAGUUUCAACAGAUUUGAUAAUAACCGCUCACGUAAAGCAUUACUGUACUUUUCAUAGCAUUUCAAGAAAAAACAGUGGCAUGGAUCCUGUAUUUUCCUAGCUGGAACAACUGUACCGUCCAUUCAUAGGUAUUUUUCACCACGUUCCUUAGCAGUUUUGUUUAUUUGCCACAGUGACAUUUUCUUUAUCUUCUUACGACAAUCAUCUUUCCCCAGUUCUUCAAAUCCAGGAUCCUCGUUUUCAUCUGUUGAUGAAUGUAUUAAUAGAUAGUUAGAUAUUCUCACGUUAAACAAUACUGAUAUUAGUGACGCUAAUUUUCAGUUGGUUGAGUAAAUUUUCUAAUUUUUAAGCUAGUAAGCGUCGCUUAAAUUUUGGCUUUCAAAACGCUAAUCGCUAAUCCGUGGGUUUAGUGUUCAGCAAUUAUCGAGCUAAAUUUUAUAGCUAGCGAAUCAACGAUUAGCGUCGCUAAAUACAUUUUCCACUCUAAUUUUUUAUUUCAACUUUCACAAUGAAUCUGUCUUUGAGCGACUUUUAGGGCUUUUAAGGAUAAAAAAUUUGCAAUGCUAACAUUCUGAAUAACUCAACUCUACUUUUUUGCAUGUAAAAGCACAGGUUUAUUUUUUUUUUGUAUUUUUCCUUGGGACAUGCGUAGAUAUAAAUGCUUUUAAUUUGAUCCUUAAAGAUCGAAAAUUGAUAAACUGGUUCAAUAACAAUACAUUUUUUUGGGAAGUGAAAUACAUCGACCCUAACUACCCAACAAAAAUA